RNAcentral lists this ribosomal RNA (492 nucleotides) under uncultured bacterium. RNAcentral's name for it is "partial 16S ribosomal RNA". It matches the Rfam family "Bacterial small subunit ribosomal RNA", at positions 30 to 507 of the family's 1533-position model. The record is from RNAcentral.
AUUGAACGCUGGCGGCAUGCCUUACACAUGCAAGUCGAACGGUAACAGGCCUUCGUGUGCUGACGAGUGGUGAACGCGUGCGUAAUGCAUCGGAAUGUAUCCCCUGGCUGGGGAUAACGCAUCGAAUGCUGUGAUAAUACCGCAUGCGAUCUGAUAUUGAAAGCGGGGGAGCUCGCAGGUAUAUUUCGCCUCUCGUCUUUGUAGUAGCUGAUGCCGGAUUAGCUAGUUGGUGGGGUAAAGGCCUACCAAGGCGACGAACCGUAGCUGAUCUGAGAGGGUGACCGGCCACACUGGAACUGAGACACGGCCCAGACUCCUACAGGAGGCAGCAGUAGGGAAUCUUGGACAAUGGGCGCAAGCCUGACCCAGCAAUGCCGCGUGAGGGAUGAAGGACUUCGGGUUGUAAAACGCUGUUGGCAGGGACGAAACAGUGUGUGAUAAUACAGGGAGCUAAUGACGGUACCUGCUGAGAAAGCAACGGCUAACUACGUG